RNAcentral lists this ribosomal RNA (401 nucleotides) under uncultured bacterium. RNAcentral describes it as "bacterial SSU rRNA". It matches the Rfam family "Bacterial small subunit ribosomal RNA", at positions 355 to 773 of the family's 1533-position model. The record is from RNAcentral.
UGGGGAAUUUUGCGCAAUGGGGGAAACCCUGACGCAGCAACGCCGCGUGGAGGAUGAAAUCCCUUGGGAUGUAAACUCCUUUCGAUGGGGAAGAUAAUGACGGUACCCAUAGAAGAAGCCCCGGCUAACUUCGUGCCAGCAGCCGCGGUAAUACGAGGGGGGCAAGCGUUGUUCGGAAUUAUUGGGCGUAAAGGGUGCGUAGGCGGUCUGACAAGUCUGAUGUGAAAUCUAUGGGCUCAACCCAUAGUCUGCAUCGGAAACUGUCGGGCUUGAGUAUGGGAGAGGUGAGUGGAAUUCCUGGUGUAGCGGUGAAAUGCGUAGAUAUCAGGAGGAACACCUGUGGCGAAGGCGGCUCACUGGACCAUAACUGACGCUGAUGCACGAAAGCUAGGGGAGCAAAC